CAGCCACCUUUAAAAAAACGUUAAAGCUUAAUUUAAUCUUAAAUAAAUCCCCCAAAUAACCAUGAACCCUUUUCCAUUACUGAAUGAUUUCAUAAUAUAUGAAAAACACCAUGCUAGAACUAGUAACAAGAAUAUAACAUUCUCCAAAAUGUAAGUGUAAACCAAAAUGGAUACUCCAUUGGCAGUUAACGAAAAUGAGUGACUUACAGCAACAUAAACAAGAAAAAUCUGUACUUUCCCAUCGUUAAUCUAACACUAGAACAUUCCCGGAAAGAUUAAAAGAAAAAGAAGGAAUUCGGCAAAUUUCAACCCCGCCUGUUUACCAAAAACAUCGCCUCUUGUUAAUAAUAAGAGGUCCAGCCUGCCCAGUGACAUAGUUCAACGGCCGCGGUACCCUAACCGAGCGAAGGUAGCAUAAUCACUUGUUCUUUAAAUAAGGACUUGUAUCAAUGGCAUCACGAGGGUCGUACUGUCUCCUUUCUCCAAUCAGUGAAACUGAUCCUCCCGUGAAAAAGCGGGGAUAUACAUAUAAGACGAGAAGACCCCAUGGAGCUUUAAACCUCCAGCAACUUAACUAUAAAUUUCUUCAUAGCCCCUAAAGAAAUGCCUGUUGGUUUUAGGUUGGGGUGACCACGGAGUAAAAACUAACCUCCACAACGCAUAAACCUAAAUUUUUAUUUAAGAGUCACAACUCUAAAAAAUAGCAUACUAACGUACACUGAUCCGAUAAUCGAUUAAUGAACCAAGUUACCCUGGGGAUAACAGCGCAAUCUAUUUUAAGAGUUCAUAUCGACAAAUAGGCUUACGACCUCGAUGUUGGAUCAGGGUAUCCCAGUGGUGCAGCCGCUACUGAUGGUUCGU
This 861-nucleotide ribosomal RNA is filed under the name Kurixalus baliogaster (belly-spotted frog). Its description in RNAcentral is "partial 16S ribosomal RNA". It matches the Rfam family "Bacterial large subunit ribosomal RNA", at positions 1508 to 2576 of the family's 2925-position model. Lineage: Eukaryota; Metazoa; Chordata; Amphibia; Anura; Rhacophoridae. The record is from RNAcentral.